UAAACCAUAGUCAAUAUUAUGACGUAUGAGUUGCAUUCAUAAAGAGUUUUUUAAACUGGUUUAAAA
RNAcentral lists this transfer RNA (66 nucleotides) under Chiromantes haematocheir. RNAcentral's name for it is "tRNA-Ala". Lineage: Eukaryota; Metazoa; Arthropoda; Malacostraca; Decapoda; Sesarmidae. RNAcentral also lists the same sequence under 2 other names. The record is from RNAcentral.